Molecule: long non-coding RNA, 1247 nt
Organism: Suricata suricatta (meerkat)
Lineage: Eukaryota; Metazoa; Chordata; Mammalia; Carnivora; Herpestidae
Exons: 2
Source: RefSeq, a predicted model, not a curated record
UCCGUGAUGGGGACCUCAUUACAGGCCGAGGCAGCCCCGGCAGGUGUGGGAUAGGCGCACAGGUUGGUUCUGCCGUCCAGGAACUUUGCUCUCGAAUGGACCGCGACUUGCAGCCCCGCGGUGGCCCCUGCCGUGUAUGCCCGUGACAAGGUGGCGUGGAACAAUCGCCCAGUAACCCGGGCCUGCGGCUCAGGCUCACGGAGGAGAGGGGGGAGGGGCGGUUCCCCUCCAGGUCCCCGGCGUCCCGGACCCGGCGCAGCUCCAUGUUUCAAGGAUCAGUGGCAGUUCCCCAUAAGGCCUUUCUGCGGGAGGAGACACAGACUUCCAGAGAAGGCAAGCCGUUGUCCCAGGUCACGCAGCCUGUCGUGGAGAGCCCUCGUUUGACACCCCGGCUUCCUGGGCCUGACCAGCUGCCCCGGGGUGACCAGUAGUGGCUGCGCCUAUGAGGAAAGCCCUGGUCCCCCACUCAUAGCCUGACUGCACCCCGACAUGCUUCCGACUCGACGGUGACCCUAAACCUGCGAGCUGGGCCCUGGCAUCCCUCGGCCACAGUGAUUGGUUCAGAGCUAGCCAUGUGACCCGAGUCAAGCCAAUCAGAAUCAGGCAUGGGUUUGGUGGGGGCCCAGGAGGCGGGAGGGUUUCCGGUCCGCCGGGGUUGCAGACUCAAAGGAGGCAAAUGACGCUUGGAGCUCGGGGGUCUCUGUCCCAAGAACAAGGGGCCUGAGUAGUGGAUGCAGGGCACUCGGGAAAGCCGAGCCGAGACACAGAAAGUGACACGUCAUCUCACCUCGUGGAUCCGAGCUACGCCUGAAAUCGGGAACCAGGGACUCGGCCGUCGCUGGACGCUGUCUGCAGACUGUUUUUGCCGAGACCUGUUUAAGUUCGUUUGUUCACAACCCAAGAGGGCCCUGACCAAGCCACCCGGUUUCAUGCUCUCAAAGGACACGUCCCGUUAGGGUUUUUUCCUGUGCUGGAUGGGUCUUAAAAAAGGAGGCAUAAGGAAAGUUUGGUGGGCGGUAUAUCAUCUCGAUUCUGGUGAUGGUUGCGUGGAAAUACAUGUGUCAAAACCUGUCAAAUUACACAUUUUUGCGUAUUUAUACGUCCGUUACGCCUCAAUACAGUCAAAAGUAUUUAAGUAGCAUCACUAGCAUCAUUUCAGCGCCUGGAUCCAGCCAUGCCUGAAAGCAGCAAUUUGCACUUUCCAGCUAUAUAAGCCAAUAAAUGUCCUUUUGUGGGAAUAAUCAUUA